RNAcentral lists this ribosomal RNA (770 nucleotides) under uncultured bacterium. RNAcentral describes it as "bacterial SSU rRNA". It matches the Rfam family "Bacterial small subunit ribosomal RNA", at positions 8 to 796 of the family's 1533-position model. The record is from RNAcentral.
AGAGUUUGAUCCUGGCUCAGGACGAACGCUGGCGGCGUGCUUAACACAUGCAAGUCGAGCGGAAAGGCCCUUCGGGGUACUCGAGCGGCGAACGGGUGAGUAACACGUGAGUAAUCUGCCCCUAGCUCUGGGAUAGCUCCGGGAAACCGGGAUUAAUACCAGAUACAACUACUUAAGACAUCUUUUGUGGUGGAAAGAAUUUCGGCUAGGGAUGUGCUCGCGGCCUAUCAGCUUGUCGGUGAGGUAACGGCUCACCAAGGCGACGACGGGUAGCCGGCCUGAGAGGGCGACCGGCCACACUGGGACUGAGACACGGCCCAGACUCCUACGGGAGGCAGCAGUGGGGAAUAUUGCGCAAUGGGCGAAAGCCUGACGCAGCGACGCCGCGUGGGGGAUGAAGGCCUUCGGGUUGUAAACCCCUUUCAGCAGGGACGAAGCGAAAGUGACGGUACCUGCAGAAGAAGCGCCGGCUAACUACGUGCCAGCAGCCGCGGUAACACGUAGGGCGCAAGCGUUGUCCGGAAUUAUUGGGCGUAAAGAGCUCGUAGGUGGUCUGUUGCGUCCGCUGUGAAAACUCGGGGCUUAACCCCGAGCCUGCAGUGGAUACGGGCAGACUAGAGGUAGGUAGGGGAGAAUGGAAUUCCUGGUGUAGCGGUGAAAUGCGCAGAUAUCAGGAGGAACACCGGUGGCGAAGGCGGUUCUCUGGGCCUUACCUGACACUGAGGAGCGAAAGCGUGGGGAGCGAACAGGAUUAGAUACCCUAGUAGUCC